GCUAAUGAAAAUCAGGAUGUGAUAUUUCUAAGUCUAAGCCUUAGGUCUCCACAGAAAACUCAGAAGAAGUAGAUGCCAGGACCAGAAGAAGUAGAUCAGCAGGAGCAGACGGACUAGGGGAGAAGCAUAGACUGAAGAAUGUGGACUGAUUGAUGAAGCAGAGCAUCCAUUGUGCACAUGUACUGACCCACUGGAUUAGAGAGGGGGCAGAGUGAUAAGGGCUGCAGUAACAGUAGUGACCACCAACAGCUGGAUAUUGCUCUCCAGUGACACACAAACACCCAUUCACGCCUAGUCUUUGUUUUGAUCUUUAUGUCAAGACACCUUCAAUCCAAUAUCUCAACCUCUUACACAGUGUAAGACAUGACAUAAUGCAUUUCGUAUUCCAAAUCUACCAUUAAUUAUUGCUGAGGCUUUAGGCAUGACACUGAAAGCAUCUUUGCCUGGUGCAGGUCUUUCUUCUAUGAUACAAAAUAUUCAUGUUUCUCUCAAACCAGAAAAAUGAAUGCCCGUUCCCUUUGUAGAAUAAAUUAUGAAAUUUACUUUAUCA
Herpailurus yagouaroundi (jaguarundi) is the source of this 550-nucleotide long non-coding RNA. RefSeq lists it as uncharacterized. The transcript has 2 exons. The record is from RefSeq and is a predicted model, not a curated record. Lineage: Eukaryota; Metazoa; Chordata; Mammalia; Carnivora; Felidae.